Molecule: ribosomal RNA, 131 nt
Filed under: Setophoma terrestris
Lineage: Eukaryota; Fungi; Ascomycota; Dothideomycetes; Pleosporales; Phaeosphaeriaceae
Description: partial large subunit ribosomal RNA
Rfam family: Eukaryotic large subunit ribosomal RNA
Source: RNAcentral
CGGCAACAGCUCAAAUUUGAAAUCUGGCUCUUUCAGAGUCCGAGUUGUAAUUUGCAGAGGGUGCUUUGGUGGUAGUUGCGGUCUAAGUUCUUUGGAACAGGACGUCACAGAGGGUGAGAAUCCCGUACGUG